Mytilus californianus (California mussel) is the source of this 425-nucleotide long non-coding RNA. RefSeq lists it as uncharacterized. The record is from RefSeq and is a predicted model, not a curated record. The transcript is spliced from 3 exons. Lineage: Eukaryota; Metazoa; Mollusca; Bivalvia; Mytilida; Mytilidae.
UCAGUAUUUGCUAGUUCUUCUUCUUACAGAUAUACUCACAGGCUCUACUGCAGAUAUAUUUAAAAAUCCGGGAUGUUCAAGACAUAAUGUUGAUAAUAUGCAAGGUAAAGAAACCAUACAGCCAGUGUUGGUAAAUCGUGGAGAAAAUUUGAUUUUGAAUUGCACUUGCUUUAAUGAGUGUAAUGGCCAAUUGAGCGGCCCAAAUAUGAUAUUAGCACCCAAUGCUGGUGCUUUUAUACCAUACACACAGGGAAUGGAUUUGAAUCCAAGACUACAUAAAUCAAAAUAUAGGAUUUUUGGUGGAUACGAUACUCACAGUUGCAAUUUACAGAUUACGAACUUCUUGUCAGAUGACGAUGGUGUAUACAAGUGUGAGUAUGUGCACUCAUCAACAGUUUACACAGAUUUUUACAACGUAAGUGCGA